RNAcentral lists this unclassified non-coding RNA (1221 nucleotides) under Hevea brasiliensis (rubber tree). Lineage: Eukaryota; Viridiplantae; Streptophyta; Magnoliopsida; Malpighiales; Euphorbiaceae. The record is from RNAcentral.
GGAUGCGAUAGUACAGCUGCCUUACGAUGCUACGGUAAGGUUGAUGCUGCGUUCGCUAGAGCGCAACCUCUUGCCGGACACUGUUAUACGGCGACUCACACGCCUGCUCUUAGCCGCCCGACUUCGCUCCGGUUACAAACCAUCCUCCGAGCUACAGCUCUCUGAUCUUCUCCAAUUUGUACAAUCUUUAAAAGAGAUGCCUAUAGCUGUGAUGACCGAGAAGCCAAAGUCCCAACAUUAUGAGCUCUCUACCUCUUUCUUCAAGAUUGUUCUUGGAAAACACCUCAAAUACAGCUGCUGUUACUUCAAAGACAAGUUGAGCACUUUGGAGGAUGCUGAAAAAGCAAUGAUGGAAUUAUAUUGUGAAAGGUCGCAGUUGAAAGAUGGACACACUGUACUUGAUGUUGGUUGUGGCUGGGGUUCCCUUUCUCUAUACAUAGCACAAAAAUAUAGUGCCUGUAAAGUUACCGGGAUUUGCAAUUCAGUCACCCAAAAAGCACACAUAGAAGAGCAGUGCCGGGAGCUUCAGCUGCAGAAUUUGGAGAUCAUAGUUGCAGAUAUUAGCACAUUCGAGAUGGAAGGAUCCUAUGAUAGAAUAUUGUCUAUUGAAAUGUUUGAGCAUAUGAAGAACUAUGGAGAUCUCCUGAAGAAGAUCUCAAGAUGGAUGAAGGCAGAUAGUCUUCUUUUUGUUCAUUAUUUUUGCCAUAAAGCAUUUGCUUACCACUUUGAGGAUGUGAAUGAUGAUGAUUGGAUCACUAGGUACUUUUUCAGUGGAGGUACAAUGCCUUCUGCUAAUCUCCUCCUUUAUUUUCAGGAUGAUGUUUCUGUGGUUGAUCAUUGGCUAGUUAAUGGAAAACAUUAUGCACAGACAAGUGAAGAAUGGCUUAAGAGAAUGGAUGAGAACAAGAGUUCCAUAAAGCCAAUAAUGGAGUCAACUUAUGGGAAGGAUUCAGCCGUUAAGUGGACUGUCUACUGGAGAACCUUUUUCCUUUCAGUUGCUGAAUUGUUUGGGUACAACAAUGGAGAAGAAUGGAUGGUUGCACAUUUCCUCUUCAAGAAGAAUUGAAUUUGCCAAGCCAAGUAAUAAGCAUGUCUACAUGCAUUCGCACUAUUACCAUAAGUAGAAUGUGUUGCUAUGAUGCUAUCCUCGUCAGUCCUAUCAUAUAUAGAGAAAAUUUCAUAAAUGAGCUUCAGAAAAGGCAGCUAAGAAUGUGAUCACUC